RNAcentral lists this long non-coding RNA (642 nucleotides) under Homo sapiens (human). Its description in RNAcentral is "non-protein coding lnc-FRZB-5:2". Lineage: Eukaryota; Metazoa; Chordata; Mammalia; Primates; Hominidae. The record is from RNAcentral.
UACUGUUAAUUGUGCCUUUUAUCAUGGGAAUUUUAUUACUUUAAUAAAUUUAGAUUUUUUUCCAAGUUUAAGAAAGAAUCCAGUUCACACUUUUUUAUUCUCUUCUCCUUCUGUUUCUUUGAAUUUAGCUGUUGACAGUGUCUUGAAGAGGAUGACAAUAAUUGGUGUAAUUUUAUCCUUCCGAUCAUUGGCACAAGAAGCACUUAGAGAUGUCUUAUCCUACCACAUUCCUUUUCUUGUAAGUUCAAUUGAAGAUUUUAAGGAUCACAUUCCAAGGGAAACUGAUAUGAAGGUAAUAAUAUAAUUUAUAGUUGGGGUUUACAGUCUCUAAAGCGAAAUAUUUAAAUUACAUAUGCAAGAAAAUGUAAUAAAUCCUAAACUACUGUAAGGUUUCUAGUUUAGAGUGGUUAGUUAGCAUGCUUGCCUUUGUAAUUGAAUCUUUGAGAGCUCAGCACCAAAAUACUACCUAGGCAUUUUGAAAGUCAGUCUUCUUUGAUCACCUAUAGCAAUGCAAAAUUGACUAAAAAUAGAUUUUUUUUUUCCUUAAAUGGAUAGCUGUUUAUACAUGGUGAUAAAGAAAAUUAAGAAAGAUGAGGUGGCCAGGCACGGUGGCUCACGCCUGUAAUCCCAGCACUUUGGGAG